Molecule: ribosomal RNA, 500 nt
Filed under: uncultured bacterium
Lineage: Bacteria
Description: partial 16S ribosomal RNA
Rfam family: Bacterial small subunit ribosomal RNA
Source: RNAcentral
AUUGAACGCUGGCGGCAUGCCUUACACAUGCAAGUCGAACGGCAGCACGGGAGCAAUCCUGGUGGCGAGUGGCGAACGGGUGAGUAAUACAUCGGAACGUGCCCAAUCGUGGGGGAUAACGUAGCGAAAGCUACGCUAAUACCGCAUACGAUCUACGGAUGAAAGCGGGGGAUCGCAAGACCUCGCGCGAAUGGAGCGGCCGAUGGCAGAUUAGGUAGUUGGUGAGGUAAAGGCUCACCAAGCCUGCGAUCUGUAGCUGGUCUGAGAGGACGACCAGCCGCACUGGGACUGAGACACGGCCCAGACUCCUACGGGAGGCAGCAGUGGGGAAUUUUGGACAAUGGGCGCAAGCCUGAUCCAGCCAUGCCGCGUGCGGGAAGAAGGCCUUCGGGUUGUAAACCGCUUUUGUCAGGGAAGAAACGGCUCUUGCUAAUAUCGAGAGCUAAUGACGGUACCUGAAGAAUAAGCACCGGCUAACUACGUGCCAGCCGCCGCCGUAA